GAAGGUGCUUCCCUUUGCAGUG
Molecule: microRNA, 22 nt
Filed under: Macaca mulatta (Rhesus monkey)
Lineage: Eukaryota; Metazoa; Chordata; Mammalia; Primates; Cercopithecidae
Description: mml-miR-524-3p
Gene: mml-miR-524-3p
Source: miRBase by way of RNAcentral